This 1383-nucleotide ribosomal RNA is filed under the name Triticum aestivum (bread wheat). Its description in RNAcentral is "partial small subunit ribosomal RNA". The record is from RNAcentral. Lineage: Eukaryota; Viridiplantae; Streptophyta; Magnoliopsida; Poales; Poaceae.
AUGGCACGGGGAGGAGCUCACGUCGUCGCGGCGGCGGCUCUGCUGCUCCUGCUGCUCCUCGCGGCAGGCGGCGGCGGCGUGCAUUGCCUGAGGUCAAGGGCGGUGAGCGGCGCCACGGUCCUGGAGCUGCGGCACCACGCCAGCUUCGGCCCAGGCGGCAGGAGCAGCAGGGCGGAGGAGGCCCGCGGCGUCCUGGCCUCCGACGCCGCCAGGGUCUCGUCGCUGCAGCGGCGCAUCGGCAGCUACGGGCUGAUCAGGUCGUCGGACGCGGCGUCCAAGCUGGCGCAGGUCCCCGUCACCUCCGGCGCCAUGCUCCGGACGCUCAACUACGUCGCCACCAUGGGCAUCGGCGGCGGCGAGGCCACGGUGAUCGUGGACACGGCGAGCGAGCUCACCUGGGUGCAGUGCAAGCCGUGCGACGCCUGCCACGACCAGCAGGAGCCGCUCUUCGACCCGUCGGCGUCGCCGUCCUACGCCGCCGUGCCGUGCAACUCCUCCUCCUGCGACGCGCUGCGGGUGGCCACCGGGAUGUCCGGCCAGGCCUGCGACCAGCCCGCGACCUGCAGCUACGCCCUCAGCUACCGCGACGGGUCCUACUCCCGCGGCGUGCUGGCGCACGACAAGCUGAGCCUGGCCGGCGAGAACAUCGAGGGCUUCGUGUUCGGCUGCGGCACCAGCAACCAGGGCCCGUUCGGCGGCACGUCCGGGCUGAUGGGGCUCGGCCGGAGCCAGCUCUCGCUCAUAUCCCAAACCAUGGAGCAGUUCGGCGGCGUGUUCUCCUACUGCCUGCCGCCGAAGGAGUCCGGCUCGUCGGGGUCCCUCGUCCUCGGCGACGACUCCUCGGUGUACCGGAACUCCACCCCGAUCGUGUACACCGCGAUGGUCUCCGACCCGCUGCAGGGGCCCUUCUACAUGGUCAACCUGACCGGGAUCACCGUGGGCGGCGAGGAGGUGCAGUCCCCGGGGUUCUCGGCCGGCGGCGGCGGCAGGGCCAUCGUCGACUCCGGCACGAUCAUCACGAGCCUGGUGCCGUCCGUGUACGCGGCGGUGCGGGCCGAGUUCCUGAGCCAGCUGGCGGAGUACCCGCAGGCGCCGCCCUUCUCCAUCCUGGACACCUGCUUCGACCUGACGGGGCUGAGGGAGGUGCAGGUGCCGAGCCUGAAGCUGGCGUUCGACGGCGGCGCGGAGGUGGAGGUGGACUCCAAGGGCGUGCUCUACGUAGUCAGCGGCGACGCCUCCCAGGUGUGCCUAGCGCUGGCCGCCCUCAGGUCCGAGGACGACACCCCGAUCAUCGGCAACUACCAGCAGAAGAACCUGAGGGUGAUUUUCGACACCGCGGGGUCUCAGAUCGGGUUCGCGCAAGAGACUUGUGAUUACAUUUGA